Non-coding RNA from Acanthosepion pharaonis, 112 nucleotides. NCBI's taxonomy places the organism in Eukaryota, Metazoa, Mollusca, Cephalopoda, Sepiida, Sepiidae. The record is from the annotation of a GenBank genome assembly.
UAUGGUCAUAUCACAUUGAAACAGUGGUUCCUACACAAUCACCGAAGUUAAGCAACGUCAAGCCUUGUCAGUACCUAGAUGGGUGAGUGCUUGGGAAUACCAGGUGCUGUAA